GGGAAGAUACUCAAGCGGCCAACGAGGGCAGACUGUAAAUCUGCUGGUUUUACCUUCGCAGGUUCGAAUCCUGCUCUUCCCACCA
This 85-nucleotide transfer RNA is filed under the name Capnocytophaga gingivalis. Its description in RNAcentral is "tRNA-Tyr". It matches the Rfam family "tRNA". Rfam says of the family: Transfer RNA (tRNA) molecules are approximately 80 nucleotides in length. Lineage: Bacteria; Pseudomonadati; Bacteroidota; Flavobacteriia; Flavobacteriales; Flavobacteriaceae. RNAcentral also lists the same sequence under 4 other names. The record is from RNAcentral.